AUGCGGAACGGCGCGCAGGCUCCUCGCGGCACCGGCGGCGGGGGCGGCGGCGGGCUCUUCUCCGCGCGCUCGCUCUCCAGCUACAUGCGCAUCGUCUCCUCGGGGGCGUCCACGGCCGCCUCCACGCUGCGCUCCGCCGGCGCCUCGCUGGUCAACUCGAUCGCCAGCCACGACGAGGAUGCGGGCCGCGACCAGGUACAAUGGGCUGGGUUUGAUAAACUUGAAUGUGGGGGUGACGUGCUGCGACAGGUUUUGCUGCUAGCAUACAGAUCAGGCUUCCAAGUAUGGGAUGUUGAACAAGCCGAUGAUGUAAGACAGAUAGAAUCAAGACAUGAUGGUGCUGUUUCUUUCAUACAACUGCUGAAGAAACCAAUUGCCUCUAAGAGAGGUGAAGACAGAUUUGUAGAUGCACGGCCAUUGCUGGCUCUUGCUGGUGGUGGAACUAGCACAGGAAGUGCAAACGGCCAUGAUGCCAAUGGCCCUGGCUUCAAUGGAACUAAUGGCACUUACCAUAAUAGUGGCAGUGAAAAACUGCCUACCAUCGUUCGCUUUUAUUCGCUGAAGGACCACGGUUAUGUUCAUUCAAUGAAGUUCAGAUCAGCUGUUUAUUCCAUAAGGUGCAGUCCUAGAGUUGUAGCUGUUUCUCAGGCUACUCAGAUCCAUUGUUUUGAUGCUGCGACAUUGGAGCUGGACUAUACACUUCUUACCAGCCCUAUACUUUCACCGAUUUCUGGUUAUGGCCCACUUGGGUUAGGUCCAAGAUGGAUUGCGUAUUCUGGGAGUCCAGUUCCAGUUCCAAAUACAGGCCGUGUUAGCCCUCAGCUUCUGAGCCUGUCUCCCAUAGUUCCGCCUCCUGGUUCAAACGGCAGUGUGGUUGCAUACUAUGCAAAAGAAUCAAGCAAGCAAUUGGCUGCUGGCAUUGUGACGCUUGGUGAUGUUGGCUAUAAGAAGCUGUCCAGGUAUUAUUCAGACAUGAUUCCAAAUGGUAAUGGUAAUAUAAAGCAAGGGAAUGCUGGCUUCAAAGCAAAUGGAGUAACAAAUGGGCAUACUAUUGACAGUGAAUAUGCAGGAACGGUCAUUGUUCGAGAUAUUGUAUCUAAAGCAAUGAUAGUUCAGUUCAGGGCACAUACAAGUCCCAUUUCAGCACUCUGUUUUGAUCCCAGUGGAACUUUGCUGGUGACAGCUUCUAUUCAUGGCCGAAACAUCAACGUUUUUCGCAUUAUGCCUUCUGUGGAUGGGAGUGCAUCAGAAGAUGGUCCAAAUGGUGCCUACGUUCAUUUGUUUAAAUUGCAAAGAGGCAUCACCAAUGCGGUCAUAAAAGAUAUCAGCUUUAGCGACGACAGUGAAUGGAUACUGAUUAGCUCGUCGAGGGGAACAAGUCAUUUCUUUGCAAUAUCUCCAUAUAGUGGAUCCACAAGCUUUCGCUAUAGUGAUAACAACCUUGCAGAAAAUAAUUAUGUUGUGGAUUCAUCAGUUAAGCAUGCCACUCAUUGGUCUCAAAACGCAAGUCCCUCUUUGAGCCUUAGUCAGAAGAUGCUUUCUCUAUCUGGCCCCCCUGUCGCAUUAUCUGUUGUUAGUAGAAUAAGAAAUGGGACUAACUUGUUGAAGGGUGCUGUCCAUGGUGCUGCAGCAUUUGCAACAGGUGUUUCCAGUCCAAUUUCUGGUGCUAUUGCUUCAACAUUUCACAACUGCAAGGGUGGUGUUAAUUCAGAUGACAGUUUGCUUUGCAUGAAGUAUUAUUUACUAGUUUUUUCUCCUUCUGGGAGUAUCAUACAGUAUGUUCUCCAUCACUCAGCUGAACCAGAUUCUGGAAUUGAUUAUCCUUCAGAUGCCACUUAUGGAUCUCAAAGAGAAACUGACACAAGAUUUGUUAUUGAACCUCUUCAGAAGUGGGAUGUUUGUCAAAAGAGAAAUAGAAGAGAUACUGCUGAGAGUAAUUUAUAUAAUGAUUUUGACAGUGGUGAAAAUAAUAAAAUUUUCCAGAAAGUGGUCCGGAAAGGAACUAGUAUCUAUCCAUCCAAUGGUGCUGCUACUGAAAGGCUGAAGCUUAGCGCUGAUGAAAAUCAUAAUUAUUAUAUUUCGGAGAGUGAACUGCAGACACAUGUUGUGCAGAUUCCAGUCUGGUCAAGAUCCGGGGUGCACUUUCAAGUAAUAGGGAGCGACACCUUAGAAGCAUAUGCCACUGAUAACAUUUCAGGGGAAAUCGAAAUUGAAAAAGUCCAGAGUUAUAAUGUGGAAUCAAGGUCAAAGAAUCUCAUACCGGUCUUUGACUCACUUCACACAUCUAGGUUUCAACAGACAAGGGUGAACACACCUGAUAGUAACAGAAGUGGGUUGCUGCAGCGACAUAAGUCUGGAUUUUCAGCAGAUGGUAGACUCUCUUCCAGAAGCAGUUGCAGUUCUUUGGAUUGCAUGUCUGAAGUCCCAAAUAGUUCUGAUGAUAACAGUGUUGGCCAAUAUUUAGUAGAAGAUAGUGCUGCUGCUGCUGCUGUAAAUAAGAACUUGAACGUUAACCACCAAGCCGAGCUUGUAAAUAACACUGAGAGCCUGAACACGGAGGCCCAGCUCGAGUUGUAA
Molecule: ribosomal RNA, 2577 nt
Filed under: Triticum aestivum (bread wheat)
Lineage: Eukaryota; Viridiplantae; Streptophyta; Magnoliopsida; Poales; Poaceae
Description: partial small subunit ribosomal RNA
Source: RNAcentral